CUGAAGGCAGCAAGACGCAAUUCAGCGGAAGAGAUAUAAGCAAUGCUAGGUGACUUGCAGGAACGAGACGUUUUGUAAAACCAAACGGAGCAGAGAGGAGCGGAUGUCCACGACUGAAACAGCCAUGACAAGGCAAUCUCUUGGCAAAAAGGAAUGAGCAACUCCCAGUGCUUUUGGAUCCAGUUUGCAGUUGCUGAAUAUUUCACAGGAAGAAAUUUUUAGGAUGGAUAAUGCCUUUGACUUGGGCUGAAAUUGCAUCAGUGCCUAUGGCAUUUCAGAACCAGCAAAGACCAGGCUGCUACAGAGCAAGCCACGUAUACUGCAGUUGCUUCUACGGACUUUGAAACAAAGAGGCUAUCUGGAUUGUGAUCUACAAUUGAAAGAUCUGAUCUGUUAUUUCAGUAAGUUUCUACUGAGAGUCUUCGAUGUGUCCACUGUUCACUCUACAAUGACGAAACUUUCCCAGGAAGUUUCUCCAGUACCAAGAACCACGCGUAUUAACUCAGGCAUUCCUUUUUUUUAUUCCUGAUGAUACUUGUUUCCUAUAUCUAUUUAUUGAUUGGACAAACUAACAAGUAAGUUUGGAGAAGCUGUGAAUUGCCUGCUCUGAAUGAGAAAUUCGAGUCAUGAUGAUUGCACAAGUCCUUCCUUUUGCAGAAAUCUGCAGUUGCUGCCUCCGUUGCCGGGCAAAGUUCUCUCCCGUUUUUCUAUAUAAGGUAUGGAUUCAAGCAAUUCUCCAAUUUUGCUAGUUUCUUU
RNAcentral lists this long non-coding RNA (756 nucleotides) under Chrysolophus pictus (golden pheasant). RNAcentral describes it as "lncRNA (ENSCPIG00010006392.1)". Lineage: Eukaryota; Metazoa; Chordata; Aves; Galliformes; Phasianidae. The record is from RNAcentral.